RNAcentral lists this long non-coding RNA (4342 nucleotides) under Sorghum bicolor (sorghum). RNAcentral describes it as "long non-coding RNA (SBIC_LNC000280)". The record is from RNAcentral. Lineage: Eukaryota; Viridiplantae; Streptophyta; Magnoliopsida; Poales; Poaceae.
UGGGGCUUGCUAUGUUCUUGGAGAAGGAUAUAGCCAGCUCGUUGGACAAACCAUUGCAAAUUGUUCCCUACAAGCCAAAAACUCCAAAAGAUGAAGAUCUUUUUGUGUCGCCAUGGAUGGGCAUUGUGGUUAACUUACAGUGUGAGUUGAUGAAAGGCAAAGAAUUUUCCAGGGAAAGUGAAGAAAGACUAACAGCGCAGCUCUCGCGGUUCAGACCCCUCCAAGCCACGAUUCUUGGGGAUGAGAAGGACCAACCGUUUUGCGCUAUCAUCGAGUUUGCUAAGUACUUGAGUGGAUUUAAGGAUGCAAUGGCUUUUGAAAACCAUUUCAUACUCGAGCACUACAGUAAGCCUGAUUGGAAAAAACGAAAUUGCAGAAAGGACGAUCUUUAUGGAUGGAUUGCAAAAACAGAUGAUUUCAACUCCCCUGGGCCAAUUGGGGAGUAUCUACGGAAAAAUGGAAAUCUUAAAAGUGUCGCUGACCUGGAACGAGAGGGACUGAAAGAAACUGGCAAGCGUGUAGUUCAUUAUGCUCUCCAAAUUGAGGACACAAAUGAACACAUGCUUGAACUGGAGCAGAAGAAGAAUGUGAAUGUCAUGAAACUUUCUAGGAUGUUGGAGGAGAAUGAUCGAUUGGUUGAAGAGCACAAUGAAAGUAUGUACAUACAUUUUGGUCUUGCACUCGUUUUUACAUCAUAUAUAGCAUACUAAUUACUAAAUGAUAUUACUUGUUUUCUUUAUGUCGAAAUUUGAAACACAAAAUCUGAAUGGCUAAAUAUACUUGGAUUCAGCACGUUGUGGUCAUGUGCUCUCUGAAAUUACUGAGUUUGUUUUGCUCCUUUGAUCACCAGGGAUACUAAAAAUGCAGAAAGCUGCUCGUCGAAAUUCUUGGAAAAUAAUUAAUGACAAUAUUAAAUUGCAUGAAGAACUGGAAACCAAGAAAAAAGAAAUUGCCAGGAGACAUGAGGAACUCGAAAAGUCGGUUAUAAAUAGUACUGACAGAGAAAAGCUUGAAGCGACAAAAGAAGAGGUAUGUCCUCGUUAUGUUUUCUAAUACUGUUUGAUGUUCCUGAACUCAACAAGCUUCUCAUCUGUUUCUUAUUUAGUAUGUAUAUAUAUUUUUUCUGAGAUGUUAUUUAAUUUAAUAGUAUAUAUUUGCUAUUAAAUGCUCUUACAGAUUGCAAAGGAGAACAAGCUUCUUGAUUUAGCAACCCUAAAGCAGAAGGAAGAAGAUGAGAAGUUCUUAAAACUUGUUAAGGAACAAGAGGUAUUGCACUCUCACUAUUUUGGGCAUUUACCUGGUGAAAAUCCGUUCUAACUGGCCAAAAACUGCAGCAAGAGAAAGAAGAAAUUAUGAAGACGCUAUAUGAUUUAGAAAUGCAGUUGGCUUCCAAACAAAAACUUGAACUGGAAAGAGAACAACUGAGGGGGAAUCUUGAGGUACAGAAGCAUAUGGCAGAGGAAGAUGCAAAAUCGAAGGAGUUGCUCGAUAAGUUGCAUGAAGAACUUAAAGAGAAAGAUGAAGAAAUGGAGGGUAUUGAUUCUGUGAACCAGGCCCUUAUUAUUAAGCAUCGAAGAACCAAUGAUGAGCUGGAAGAAGCCAAGAAAGAACUGAUUACUGUAUAAGCUCUAUACUAGCGACUCAGCUUCUUCAGUUAUUUGUUCCUUUUUUUCUUUCUCUGAGAACAAUUUACUUGCUAUGUAGGGCCUAGUUAAUAUGUCAUCAGCUCGAUCCACUGUUGGUGUCAAAAGAAUGGGUGAGCUUGAUGAGAAAACUUUCCUUGCUGCUUGCAAAGAGAAAAUUGCAGAUGAGGAGGAGUUGGCAAUUCUGUGCUCGAAAUGGGAAGAUGAGAUCAGGCAUCCAGAAUGGCAUCCUUUCAAAGUUAUACAUGUUGGUGGAGAGGCAAAGGUGCUUCAUUCCUCACUGCUCAAUAGCUUCUCAUUUUCCCCUUUUAUGUAGUUUCUUGCAGUGGUUAGAAAAUGGGUAGCAGCAGCAGGUUCGUAGUUGUUCCUUUAAAAGGGUCAGAGAUGCUUUCUAGGUUUCUGGGUUUUUUUUGGGUGCCAUAGAGAUACAGAUUUUAUUUAACCGUAUUACUUUAUGAGCUACAAAUUUUUGAAUUAUUGAAUUGAGUUAUGUUAUUUCAGUAAUCCAUAAAAGCAGUGCUUUUUAUUUGUUAACUUGUAGGACUGUGAAAUAGUUCGUUUCCUGUUUUUCAUACCAUUGUUUCUUUGCUUGUUUGUGUGUUGCUGCUGUGACUUGGAUGCUAGUAGAUAAGAAAGUGUCGUUUGAGUUUAUAACCUUGUGGCUUGUGGGAAUAUGUACUAGAAACACUUUUUUAGGUAAUCAUCAUGGAAGUCCUUUGCUUGCAAUGUUCUUUGGACAUCAAAUACGUCACCUACUUAGAUAUUAUAGCAUGUCUGCGACACAUUAAAUUGGCAGAAUACUCUUUUGAACUGAAUGAAUUGUAAAUACCAUUAAUCUUUUUGAAGAACAUUUCCAGUUUUGUAAUUCAGGAAGAAAACCGAUUUGUAAACAAAGAUACAAAAAGCUUGAAAUAGUUUCACUGGAGCCAACUGUUACUGCACUUCCUUCUGUCCAUCUGUUCUCGAUUUAAUUUAACUGAGCUAUAUCCAAAAUAAGUUAACUUUCAAUUUUACCAUGUGUGCAUUGAGUCACUUUUAGAUUGCCCAGAUAGUAGCCAAGUCAUUAUUUUUAGCAUUUUCUUUGUGCUUCUGCCAUCCAACUUGUCAACAUUAGUACUUCCUACAAUUAGCACUACAGUAUUUUUCUUUUCCACACAAGAAUGUGGUGUGAAAGCGAAACCACUUCUGCUUGACACACUGACUGAAAUUCAAUACAAGUUCUUCAUGAAAUAGAAAAAAAAAGUAAUUUGUCGCAACAAAAUCCCUUCAGAAGCUGAAGCUGACUUUAGCUUGAAAUGCUUAUUAUUUCAGCUAACCUGUGUUGAAGCGUGCGUGCAGUGUCUAAACAACAUUCAUUGGCUGGUGCAGGAAAUAAUUAUGGAGGAUGAUGAGAAGCUGCAAGCUUUGAAGGCUGAACUGGGUGUGAAGGCACACGAUGUGGUGGUCAAGGCCCUCCGUGAGAUGAACGAGUAUAAUCCAAGCGGCAGGUACCCCAUACCAGAGCUGUGGAACUUCAGGGAGGACCAGAGAGCACCAAUGGGCGAGGCAGUAGCCUACAUAGUGAAGCGGUGGAAGGCGAACAAGAAGAAACACACCUACUACUGAUGAAGUAGCGCCUGAUGGCCCCUUGGCUUGCUGGACUGCGUUGUGCCAUUGGUUCCUGGGUGGCUGGGUCGAUGUCUCUGAGAAGUGAGAACUAGGAGCCUGAGACCCUCUACUGAUGAAACCUAGUACCAGUAGUACUACUAAAUUUGUCCGAUCUCUUGGACGGUUGGAUUUGCAAUGCAAUGGUCUAUGGCACCUAGUACAAAGAUCUAUUAUUGUGGAUAAAAAAACAUAGUGUGUUUAAUAAUUGGACUUUGCUAGAGCGUGCAUGUGCCGGAAAUUGGAUUUCCGGCUGCACAUUCCAAUUUGGGGAAAGAAAUUAUUUUGGUUGCCAAAAAAAGGAAAAAAAAAAACACAGACCAAAUCUAGGGUUCACUGAUUUUGAUGCCCUCGCCCCGACCGUUGGCCACCGCCCUGCCGCGGGCACUAGGGUCCCCUCCCCCCUCCCUUGCUGCCAUCUUUGGUAGCUUUGACGAGCAUACCUGUCGUUAUGUUCUCCAGCUCUGGAGAGCAUCUCCUGCUCUGACCUAGGCCGACUGCCCCUACUACUGUCAACCUUGAGCCGCCCAUUGACCAUCACCAAUUCCCCACCGCUUGCCUGUCUCCCUAAAUCCUCUUCUCUUUUCUAAGCUCACUGGAGUUGAGCAAGAGAAGGGGAGAGCUCGUCAGAACUCUAGAUAGCAGAUCCAAAAGGAGGACGAAGAGGCCUACCUGGCCGCAGAUUCGGUGCCCGCAUCCGCCAUGGCCGCACUUGGGGGAGGCGGUGGACGAAGAGGCCUACAUGGCGGCAGAUUCGGUGCCCGCAUCCGCCAUGGCCGCACGUGGGGGAGGCUGUGGACGAAGAGGCCUACCUGGCGGCAGAUUCGGUGCCCGCAUCUGCCAUGGCCGCACGUGGGGGAGGCGGUGGGGCACGGGUAUGGACACGAGGAGGCGGUGGGAUGUCGGUGUAGGCCGCCAGAGCUCAUCGAGCGCGGAUCUAGCCACUAGAGCUCACCGGGCGCAGAUCUAUCACGCUGCUGCCAUGGUUGCCUGAGAGAGAGAGAGAGAGAGAGAGAGAGAGAGAGAGAGAGAGAGAGAGAGAGAGAGAGAGUGGG